This 325-nucleotide ribosomal RNA is filed under the name Phialocephala dimorphospora. RNAcentral's name for it is "eukaryotic LSU rRNA". It matches the Rfam family "Eukaryotic large subunit ribosomal RNA", at positions 1 to 329 of the family's 3401-position model. Lineage: Eukaryota; Fungi; Ascomycota; Leotiomycetes; Helotiales; Mollisiaceae. The record is from RNAcentral.
UUGACCUCGGAUCAGGUAGGGAUACCCGCUGAACUUAAGCAUAUCAAUAAGCGGAGGAAAAGAAACCAACAGGGAUUGCCUCAGUAACGGCGAGUGAAGCGGCAACAGCUCAAAUUUGAAAGCUGCCAACAGGCCGCAUUGUAAUUUGUAGAANAUCUUUGGGUGUCGGUCCAGUCUAAGUGCUCUGGAACGGGCCGUCAUAGAGGGUAGAAUCCCGUAUGUAUGGGGUGUCCGCGNCCAUGUGNAGCUCCUUCGACGAGUCGAGUUGUUUGGGAAUGCAGCUCUAAAUGGGUGGUAAAUUUCAUCUAAAGCUAAAUAUUGGCCG